RNAcentral lists this ribosomal RNA (497 nucleotides) under uncultured bacterium. Its description in RNAcentral is "partial 16S ribosomal RNA". It matches the Rfam family "Bacterial small subunit ribosomal RNA", at positions 28 to 507 of the family's 1533-position model. The record is from RNAcentral.
GAUGAACGCUGGCGGCGUGCCUAAUACAUGCAAGUCGAGCGAACAGAUAAGGAGCUUGCUCCUUUGAAGUUAGCGGCGGACGGGUGAGUAACACGUGGGUAACCUACCUAUAAGACUGGGAUAACUUCGGGAAACCGGAGCUAAUACCGGAUAACAUUUAGAACCGCAUGGUUCUAAAGUGAAAGAUGGUUUUGCUAUCACUUAUAGAUGGACCCGCGCCGUAUUAGCUAGUUGGUAAGGUAACGGCUUACCAAGGCGACGAUACGUAGCCGACCUGAGAGGGUGAUCGGCCACACUGGAACUGAGACACGGUCCAGACUCCUACGGGAGGCAGCAGUAGGGAAUCUUCCGCAAUGGGCGAAAGCCUGACGGAGCAACGCCGCGUGAGUGAUGAAGGGUUUCGGCUCGUAAAACUCUGUUAUUAGGGAAGAACAAAUGUGUAAGUAACUGUGCACUUCUUGACGGUACCUAAUCAGAAAGCCACGGCUAACUACGUG